This 623-nucleotide ribosomal RNA is filed under the name uncultured bacterium. RNAcentral describes it as "bacterial SSU rRNA". The stretch from base 1 to 544 matches the Rfam family "Bacterial small subunit ribosomal RNA", at positions 338 to 873 of the family's 1533-position model. The record is from RNAcentral.
CCUACGGGAGGCAGCAGUGGGGAAUUUUGGACAAUGGGGGAAACCCUGAUCCAGCCAUUCCGCGUGAGUGAAGAAGGCCUUCGGGUUGUAAAGCUCUUUUCGGCAGGAACGAAACGGUUUGGGCUAAUACCCCAGACUACUGACGGUACCUGAAGAAGAAGCACCGGCUAACUACGUGCCAGCAGCCGCGGUAAUACGUAGGGUGCGAGCGUUAAUCGGAUUUACUGGGCGUAAAGCAUGCGCAGGCGGCGGUUCAAGUCAGGUGUGAAAUCCCCGAGCUUAACUUGGGAAUUGCGCUUGAAACUAGAUCGCUAGAGUACGGCAGAGGGGGUAGAAUUCCACGUGUAGCAGUGAAAUGCGUAGAGAUGUGGAGGAACACCGAUGGCGAAGGCAGCCCCCUGGGCCUGUACUGACGCUCAUGCAUGAAAGCGUGGGGAGCAAACAGGAUUAGAUACCCUGGUAGUCCACGCCCUAAACUAUGUCAACUAGUUGUUGGAAGAGUCAAAUCUUUCAGUAACGUAGCUAACGCGCGAAGUUGACCGCCUUGGGGGAGGUACGGUCGCGAGAUAACUACAANAGAGUAGACGCGUGAGACGUGGCGAGGACGACGACGAGGGAGGAGG